This 229-nucleotide ribosomal RNA is filed under the name uncultured bacterium. RNAcentral's name for it is "partial 16S ribosomal RNA". It matches the Rfam family "Bacterial small subunit ribosomal RNA", at positions 568 to 796 of the family's 1533-position model. The record is from RNAcentral.
UGCGUAGGCGGAAUAAUAAGUCAGUGGUGAAAGCCUGCGGCUCAACCGUAGAAUUGCCAUUGAUACUGUUAUUCUUGAGUAUAGUUGAGGUGGGCGGAAUGUGUAAUGUAGCGGUGAAAUGCAUAGAUAUUACACAGAACACCAAUUGCGAAGGCAGCUCACUAAACUAUCACUGACGCUGAGGCACGAAAGCGUGGGGAGCAAACAGGAUUAGAUACCCUGGUAGUCC